GGGGAGUCUACGGCUUUCUCUCUGUCUGAGAUUUAUCCGCUGCAAAGUGAAGGCUUAACUUAAGGUCACACAAUCACAAACAUCAUUCAUUUUUCUAACGUAUUAAAUGUGUGUUUGUUUAGGCACCAGGGAGAAGAGCGAGGUGUCCAGGCUUACUACAAGCCCUCCUCCAGCCCGUCUGUCCAUGGCUUCCUCGGGGCCGGGGAGCUCGACAGACCUCUGGACAGACUGUGGAACGUAAUCUGCCAGCUGUCCAAGAGCCACAUGUACAAUCAGUCGGUCCGCUCUGUCUGGACUCGACCACUAGAUGACAGCACUCAGCUGGUUUAUAUCCUAACAGAUCCGUCCACCUGCCAUCUCAGCCAGCCGCGGGACUUCUGCUGCAUCAGCACCGAGUCCAAACAGGGUGGCUUGUGCGUGCUGGCAAUGCAAGUCUGUUUUCGAGGAGUCUCUGCCGCGUCCCAGUGUGGAUGCAGUCAGAGGGGAGAUGAUGCCGAGCUGCUGGGUCCUGCAGCCAAUUAUACGUAGUGGACAGGAAGCCACCAGGGUCAUCUACCUGCAACAGGUGGACCUGGGAACUCCAUCCUUCCCUCACCGACUGUUGAACACUGUUACCAGAAGACACGCAGCCGUCAUCGCUGAUCUCGACGUUUUCCUCGCUAAAUCCGCCGGACCGAUGAAGACGCCUCGGCAGUGAGCACUUACACUAAACGUCUCCAGCACUGGAGUUAGUUUGACUUUUGAAUUUGCACCUGGAAUGUAUUUACUUGACGUUUUUUUAAGAGCACUGUUCUGUUGAUUCCCAGUUUCACCGUUUAAGCAGCUUUCUUUCUUUUUUUUAUAUGAAGGUAUCUUUUUUAUAAAAAACGUAAACUGUAUUUUUAUAUUUGUAAUGUUGAAUGCUUGUAACAAUCAUAAUCCUACUUUACCAAAGAUUCAUCAGAGGUUUAAGGGAACUGCGUUUAGAGUUAGACAGCUUGAUGAUUAAUUAUCCAAGCUUCAGAGUUUCCUUAUCACGUCAUGUGAUGAAACGGGUUCAUUAACACCUGAUCAGUAUCAGACAUUUAAAGCCUUUUAAACAAUAUGGUGUCUAUUGCUUUCUACCAUAUUGUAACGUGGGUAGCUAAAUCUUUUAAAGGCAACAAGGUCGCAGCUAGACGACCUUUAAAUUGAAGUUAAAGAGUCGGUCAGCACAUAAUCGAAGGUUACACUGAUUUGAUAUUUAUUUACUUGUGUGUUCUCGCUAUUGUUUACUUUCUAUCUGAUGGAUAGAUGCAGCCAUCUUUGUUGUCAAUACACCUGAGAUUAAGACCUUAAAACAGAAGGCACUUUCACUCUGUUCCUUCCGGGUCAAGCACUUUUUAUAAAUGCUUUGCUUCAGCCGACUCAGACGAUGCAAUGAAAGCUGGAACACUGAUACUUACAAGGGAAAGUAUUUGAAGGUCAGGGAGGGGACACGUCCGCAUGAGGCGCACCACAUCCAAACGUAUGAAGGAAAUAUUCACAAACGCUGUUUAACCCUGAUUUGUUGCAGUACAUAUGAUAUAUGUACGUAUUCGCUCGUGCACUGCUUAUUCUAACCACUCGCAAAAACCUUAAAUCUGCAGGAAAUGACCUUCAAAUGUCCUUCAACAGUUUGGUAGCAAAAAGGGUUAAAGCAAAUAUAUUAAAGGGACUGUACGGACAUUUUUGAGGGAGGGUGUAGUCUUUUUCUUCCUGUCCCAUAUUUUAUAUCGGCAUUUGAAACUUUUUAAAUGUUUAAAGAAAACAUUUGGAGCCUCACUUCCCCAAUAACUUCCCCACAGUCCGUAAGCUAGGUGUUGGAUAUUCAGCUGGUGUAUUGAAGGAAUCCUAAGACUUUUGUAUUUGAAGUAUGCUGUGUAGGCACUGCACCUUUUGAAACCACUUGACAGAACUGCAGGAAAUCUGGUCCAUAACAGUUAUGUAGCAAAACAGGGAGUAGAAAAAUCAACCAAAGCUCUUCAAUCGGUGUCCUUCAGCAAGACACUGAAGAUCCAGGGAUGAUGCUCUACAGCGCCCUCUGACCUCCUUUUUAUUUCACAAUAUGGUACCCCGAGUCUGCAGUCUGUUUCUCAACCUUCUCUGAAGUCUAUUUAUUGUGUUCCUCUUGCCUUCUGUUUAGAAAUGCUGUUGAAUGUGUUUGUCUAGUUUUGAUGGGGGGGAUUAUUUAGUUUUAUGAGCAGAGCACGGUGCUGCGUUUUACAGCCGCUCGUACAAAACUGUUAAUGCAUUUAUUAAUGUUGCGUAUUAAAAACUUUGUUUUUGUUUGUACGGUGUUGAAGCUAUGCAGACGCUGAUCACAGGCGGGACUGUUCUCAGUCAAAGCCGCGUCGGCUGGAUCCAGAUAUGAAGCCAUAUUAUUUACAGUAGUCGGAGGUUCGCGACGAUGUGUUGGCAGCGAUCGGUUUGAGACUAAAGAUGUUCCCGGAGCAACCAAAGAGAGAAACUGACACACACUGAGAAUAGAGACAACCUUUUGUACUGAGUUCUUUUUUUUAUGCGUUUCUAUAUAUUUUUAAGUGCUCGUUUCAUUUUGUAUAAAAAAAACAAAAACCUUGUUAUUUAUGUUUUGACGAUGUGUUGUAAAUGUAUUUUAUUAUAAACACUCUGCUUCCUGUUGCUAAUGAGAUGUUAUGUUUGUUUUUUAUGAAUACAAUAAAUAUUUAAAGUCACUUUUUUUUUUACCGUCUGUUUGUUUGUGUG
Cottoperca gobio is the source of this 2724-nucleotide long non-coding RNA. Lineage: Eukaryota; Metazoa; Chordata; Actinopteri; Perciformes; Bovichtidae. The record is from Ensembl.